RNAcentral lists this long non-coding RNA (659 nucleotides) under Homo sapiens (human). Its description in RNAcentral is "HSALNT0352031". Lineage: Eukaryota; Metazoa; Chordata; Mammalia; Primates; Hominidae. The record is from RNAcentral.
UCAAUUAUACAGGAAUUAAUUUACUAACUAGAAUACAAAAUCUGAAAAUGAAAACCCAGAAAGCAUUAUGAGAAAAUUGUUGAAAGUCGGGACAUUAGUUACCUGGAAAAGCACUGAGGCUCACAUUUCCUCUGGAUGUCCACUUGGGAUUGCACAAGCUGCUAGAAGACACCCUUUGGUUCUUGCAUGUGGCCCCUUUCUGUCUUCAAAGGCAGCAACAAUACACUGAACCCUUCUUGUGAUUCAAAUCACUUUGACUUCUCGGGCUGCAAGCCAGAACUAUGGUGUGCAGCCUGGAUGCACCAAGCCAAGAUCUGCAGUGAGCACUCAAGUGGGAGAGGAGCCUACACUGACUUUCAAAACAUUGAGAGGAAGCAUAGCUGCAACCCAUGAGGAAAUACGGAGGAGCCACAUGACUGAGCAGGAGCCUACACAGUGACCAUUACACUUCAGCACCAGCUACUAGAUCACACCCCAAAACUUCAACACCAAUAAUACUUUGCUAUCAUACCCUGCUGUGAAAAGAAAGACAAGAAUUUAGCUACAAAUAAAGGCCCUAAACAAAGCCUUAGGACUCUGAAAACAUGGAAAGAAGUCUACUGACUGUACUCAAUUUACACUGCAAUUAAAGGAACACCCACACACACACACACACACAG